Molecule: ribosomal RNA, 397 nt
Filed under: uncultured bacterium
Lineage: Bacteria
Description: partial 16S ribosomal RNA
Rfam family: Bacterial small subunit ribosomal RNA
Source: RNAcentral
AUACGUAGGGGGCGAGCGUUGUCCGGAAUGAUUGGGCGUAAAGGGCGCGUAGGCGGCCCGGUAAGUCUGGAGUGAAAGUCCUGUUUUUAAGAUGGGAAUUGCUUUGGAUACUGUCGGGCUUGAGUGCAGGAGAGGUAAGUGGAAUUCCCAGUGUAGCGGUGAAAUGCGUAGAGAUUGGGAGGAACACCAGUGGCGAAGGCGACUUACUGGACUGUAACUGACGCUGAGGCGCGAAAGUGUGGGGAGCAAACAGGAUUAGAUACCCUGGUAGUCCACACUGUAAACGAUGAAUGCUAGGUGUAGGGGGUAUCGACCCCUCCUGUGCCGGAGUAAACGCAAUAAGCAUUCCGCCUGGGGAGUACGGCCGCAAGGUUGAAACUCAAAGGAAUUGGCGGGG